UGGGGAAUUUUGGACAAUGGGGGCAACCCUGAUCCAGCAAUGCCGCGUGUGUGAAGAAGGCCUUCGGGUUGUAAAGCACUUUUGUCCGGAAAGAAAACGCCGUGGUUAAUACCCGUGGCGGAUGACGGUACCGGAAGAAUAAGCACCGGCUAACUACGUGCCAGCAGCCGCGGUAAUACGUAGGGUGCAAGCGUUAAUCGGAAUUACUGGGCGUAAAGCGUGCGCAGGCGGUCCGCUAAGACAGAUGUGAAAUCCCCGGGCUUAACCUGGGAACUGCAUUUGUGACUGGCGGGCUAGAGUAUGGCAGAGGGGGGUAGAAUUCCACGUGUAGCAGUGAAAUGCGUAGAGAUGUGGAGGAAUACCGAUGGCGAAGGCAGCCCCCUGGGCCAAUACUGACGCUCAUGCACGAAAGCGUGGGGGAGCAAACAGGAUUAGAUACCCUGGUAGUCCACGCCCUAAACGAUGUNAACUAGUUNUGGGGAUUCAUUUCCUUAGUAACGUAGCUAACCGCGUGAAGUUGACCGCCUGGGGAGUAC
This 536-nucleotide ribosomal RNA is filed under the name uncultured bacterium. RNAcentral's name for it is "partial 16S ribosomal RNA". It matches the Rfam family "Bacterial small subunit ribosomal RNA", at positions 355 to 883 of the family's 1533-position model. The record is from RNAcentral.